Pezoporus occidentalis (night parrot) is the source of this 2732-nucleotide long non-coding RNA. RefSeq lists it as uncharacterized. The record is from RefSeq and is a predicted model, not a curated record. The transcript has 2 exons. Lineage: Eukaryota; Metazoa; Chordata; Aves; Psittaciformes; Psittacidae.
GCACCGGAAGUGGGCAGCGCCGCAGACGCGACCGCCGCGAGGCGCGCACCCUUCAACCGUCUCUUCAUCGCGAGACUUGAGAUGGUGUCGGGGGCGCGCCUGCCGGGAUCUCGCGAGAGUUGGUGGAGGAGGGAUGUGGGGGGGUUUCGCGGCCGGUAAGGCGGCGCCGUUUUGGGUCAGCGGGGCGUGAGGGAAACCAGCGCCUGACAUCGGCCCCAGCCACAGCCCGGCCUUCCCCCAGCACCAGUGUCACCUCCUACCGUCCCGUUGUGGGUCUGUGGAAACGUGAUUUGGUUCAAGUAGAACAUAAAUCACACCGAGCCACCAGGGGGAAAUGAUAGGGAAAAAAAGACCAGCCGCUGUCAGGGUGAUUUCCUCAGGGGAGAAUACAUACUACGCUGGCUGUAGCCUUUGCAUUACUGCUUGCUUAAAUUAGUUCAGUUACUCUACAUCCCAGCAGCAGCUUAGUGGAAGCAAUAGUCAGAUUAAAUCAGUGUAAAAAAAACUGAUCAUAAGAGUGCAUUCAACGAUCAAGAGUGAAUUAUUUGACAUCAUAACUAAUGUGACCAGUUGAAAAUUCAAAAACACCCACAAUUAAGUUAGAUCAGCCCUUUGAUCUGUAAAACUUAAAUAUGUGCAUAAACUUCCCAAAUUCUUUGUUUGGUAGCUUUCCAUAAAUAAGGGGACCAAAAUAAAAGCUAUUAGAGCAGCAUUAGAUGGUUUGAUGAAGCAAAGCUAGAGACCAGACACAAGGAAAGUUUGGCAAACAGCUAUUGAAAUACUCUCUGUGUCCUAAACAUUCACUGGAAUGAUACACUUCACAAUCACCAAAAAUAAAAUUGGAAUCUAGCUUAGUCCAAUCUAGUUAAACCAGUGCAGAACCAUCACUCAGAGGCCUUAAAUUGUUCUAACCCUUUCACAAGCUUAAUGGGAAAGAUGAGCACCCAGCUGAAUUGGCCGUAAAGUAUUUCCCUGUUCCACAGUUCAGUAACAGCCUCUCCACUGCAAAUUGCUCAUGCUUUGGUUUUCAGAUGGGAAAAAAAAUGUAACUGGGAGAUGAAGAAAUAAAAUUCCCAUAUAGUUCAGAGCCAAGAAGAUGUCCUGAAGAUAGCUGUACCUUGGAGAUCAAUAAGCCAAAGCCAUUUCACACUCUGCAGCGGACUAUGAACCCUACGACACAAUUUCAUGAGCCCGUCGUAAAGCCUGCUGGGACAUUCUGAAGCAGACAAAGGUUUCAAAGUCAGCCUCAGCACUCGGAUUUCCCAGCUUGUUUGCUGGCAUCAUUCUGGGAAUACAAGCUUGAAUAUUCAAGAUACUGAUGAACAUUCCACUUUUGCUGAUACUUUUUCUCUCCCAAAGGUCACUUGCCCAUUAGGAAUGUCAAGAAUUCAAUAAGCAAGGCAGACUCACUACAGCAUUAUUAUGAGGCUCAAAAUGCCCUAUCUUAACAGCUAAGCUGCUCUUCAGAAAACUCAAGAAAUCUGCUUCUAUUUUGUCUUCAAGUAUCACCAGCUGGCCUUCCUUUUUCUGCAGCACAGCAGCUCAGUUAAUAUCUGGCCACUGUGACCUGUGCUGGGAUUAGUAAAACAUUUUUCUGAGACAAUUUAUAAAGGUGCUGUCAACAAACUGCUGCCUCUCCUAAAGACUAAUUAAAGCCAAGCCAAUACAGUCCAGUACAGGCUGUAACAGUGUUCAGUCUCCUCGCACCCUCAGCCAGUUCCUCUUAUUAGUGAUGGGAAAAAUUCAGCACCCGAUGUUUGGUGACCUUCUGCGACUACUUGACAAUUUCAGUUUAUGACAGCAUGAAGAAAAGUUUUUGCAAAUCAGAUUAAUCUAAACUCAUGCCCCAGUUACUCUUUUUCCUCAGACAGUGUUGUUGCAAGUCUAGACAGAGAGACAGUGCUGUUUACUGGAAGCAACAGUCUCCUAUUUUUACUGUGUUCCCUUUCUACCCACAUAACAUCUAGUCUGGGAAAAACUAAGUGAAUGUGUUGUAUAUAUACAAAAUAUGUAUCAUAAGGGAUACAUGGUGAGUGCACACGCUUCCCACUCCCACAGUUUCUCAACUCAUAUUUAUUCAUUCUUUCAUGUUGUGUUUGACAAGAGGUUUUUCUUAUUCUCUCACCUCCUUUUCUCACUUAGGCUCAAAGAGCAUAGUAUAAGCUACUCCUGAAGCUGAACUCUGAGUCACCCCAGGGAGUGAAGAGACCAGAAUCUUGAGCAAUACUGUUUGCUUACAGAGAACCUUGGUUUUCAGAAGUACCAGCUGAUCUGGGGACAAUUCAAACUUUUCCAGUGAAAACUUUCCUGGUGGAUACCCGAGUCAGGCAUGUUUAAGGCCUCAAACCAAGAUAUUUCCAAAGGUGCUGCUGAAGAGGCAAGAGUCUCAAAGAUUCAGCACUUGAGGAAGUAACCACUGGCAAGAGUAGUUUCUAAAGUAAUUUUGUAAUCUCAUCUCAAUUGAUGCACAUGUGAUAGAAUAUUUCAUUUUUUGAUCAUUGUGUCUGUGACCUGGAAAGUCAUGUUUCCCACAGCAAGAAUGCAAGCAGUUACAGGCAUCACCUCCUGCUGCAAACAAACGCAAGGUUUCUUCUGUGUUGGAUUUCAGGCAAUUACUGAACCAUUUCUCAUUACCCCACUGUCACUGUUGCUAAAGCUAGAGAGAAGAUGAAACAAACAUCUUGCAUUUAUACUGUACCACCAUUUAAAGAAUAUGCAUGUCUUCUUCUGUC